AUGCCCCUCCCCAGGAGGGAGAGUUUAAUAUUUCUGCCACACCUCUCACACCCACUACCCCUCCCCAGGAGGGAGAGUUUAAUAUUUCUGCCACACCUCUCACACCCACUACAAAGGUGGCAGCCUGUCUUGGCAUACUGGUUGCAGAACUUCAACAUGCAGCCCAGGAAGAAUAAAUUUGCCCUAUAUAUUUGCAAAUAUAUUUUCAAAGGUCAGGGAUUACUGACUGAUCACUUUGAUCUUAAAGAAUAUCCAUGUGGCUCUUCCUGCAUUUUAGAGGAAGAGAGAACGGUAAAACUUCGAGUCUGGGUCAGCAGACAUAGUUACUAAGUACUUACCAUGAGUUGGUCACUGAGUCAAUCUGCGGAAUGCAGAGGUGGCUAAGACAGCUCCUCCUGCCCUCAACAAGCUCACUGAACGAUUUGCUACACAGAAUAACUCUGCAUCCUGCUAAGCCAUUCUGGGUCAGUAAACGGAACAGUAUUCCAAGUAGUUAAAUGCACUGGUCUCUAUUAUUAAUAUUGGCUUUUUGCACAUUGACGUUUUCUUCCAAAUCAGUCUGCCUGAUUCUGAGUUGCUCAAGAUCACCCCACUUGUGACAGCAUUUUUCACUGACCAUCAGAGGAUAUUUAUGCUUCAAAACUGGAUAUGGUUGUUUCAUUGGAAGUUAAAGAGAGAUCGAAGAUACAUCAACCCCUGGGAAUUCCCUGGUGGUCCAGUAGUUAGGACUUGGCACUUUCACUGCAGGGCCCAGGUUCAAUCCCUGAUCAAGGAACUAAGAUCCCACAAGCUGAACAACAUAACCAAAUUAGAGGGGGAAAGAAAAAAUAGAGUGCCCUGUUUUAUUUUUUCUUUCUUUAAAUUUAGGACUGAAUGCUCUGUGAAGGCUAGGAUGAUGUCUGUUUUGGUCACUGUUUCCUCCAUGCCUUGUUUAAAGAAGAUGCUCAUCAAAUAUUAAAUCAUCAAUUAAAGAAUGAGUGAGUGAUUUAGUGAAUGCAUCGAGACCAAGGUUAUUCCUUCUCUUUCAGACAGUAUUGUCAGAGUACAGGCUUUGAGAAAGACACAAAGAAGCCCAAGUCCAUGCCAGCAUCCCCCUAGGAAUAGACUACACAUGUCCGCUGGCUAAGGAGUUGUGGCAUUCUUCCCAUCUUUCUUACUAUUGAUAACAGUGAUCGGGUUUGUUCUGGGCAACAAAGCUCCUAGUUAAGACACAUAGUCACCUGGCCUCCCCUGCUGUGAAGACGGCCACAGGACACAGUUCUGGCCAGUAGUCUCCAAGUGAAGUGUUUUUUGGAGCUUCUAGAAAGACUUAACAGAGCCAAACUCAUCUGGCAUGUUUCUCUUUUCCUGUCCCUUAAUUCCCACUUGGGUUGCAGGCAUUAUAUUACUAGAGCUAUGACAGCCACCUUGCCACAAUGAGAGUGAAUUUCAUAGUUGAAGAUGGUGGAGUAGAAAGAGAAAAGUCUAGGCCCUUCAGGACAUUGCUGAACAACUGCCCAGCUUUGCUUUCACCUGGGCUUUUUACUUUGUUUUUAAGUCUUUAUUGAAUGUGUUACAAUAUUGCUUCUCUUUUGUAUUUUGGGUUUUUGGCCACAAGGCAUGUGGGAUCUUAGUUCCCCAACCAGGGGCUAAACCUGCGCCUCCUGCAUUGGAAGGCUAAAGUCUUAACCACUGGACCACCAGGGAAGUCCCUGAGCUGCUUGUUACAUGAGAACAAUAAGUCACUUUAUAUAACUGUAUUAAUAGUUGAGUAUUUUGUUACCUGUAGCCUAAUGCAAUAAUUAGGAACCUGAUUCAGGAACAGAAACGAAAGAUCCAAACAUUGUUCUUAACUGCUUUCUCAAUAAAAUCAAAGAAUAUUUUGUUGAUAACAGUGGAAUAGCUAUGGCUGCUUUUUCCUCCAUUUAAAAAAAUUAUUGAAGUAUGACUAAAGAUGGGGUAGAGUUUUGAGGAGAUAUCUAUUAAACAAAUCCUUUGGAAAAGUGAAGAAAAUCAAGCCGAUAAUUUUGAAGAUAGCAUAGUUGACAUUUGCAGCCUUUCUGGGAAAUCUGAACCAGUGCUCAUUAGGGUAAGGGCCUGCCAUUCAACUGAAAGCUUUUGGAGGUGAAGUAUCUUUUGCCCAGAACCUCUCAGCCUGAGGGCUCUUAUCAAGAGUGUUGUAAAUGAGGUCACUGGAGCCCCAGCUGGGGAGAGCUCAGAGACCCAUGAAAUGAUGAGAAAGCACCAGAGAAAUAAGGAUUGAGAGAAAUCAAACACCAACCACCCACAUAUAGGUGCUUUCACAGUUCCAUUCUUCGCAUGGAUGAUUAUGUCCUCAGACCUGCAUUUCUUACUAGUCUUCUCCUAUUCACGGAUUCUUAAUGGGAGGGCCAGAGUCCCCAAAAUCUAUCUCAGAAUUUGGACUUGAUGAGCUGCUUGAAGAUAAGAACUUGUUUUCCCUGCACAAUCAGCAUAAAACUUUAUGUCCUAGCGCAUAAUAGGAACUCUAAACAGACUUAACUGGUUAUUGGGAUUCAAUUUCUAAUAAUCUCUAAAUGCUUGUUUCAUGUGCAAACAUGUAAAAGGUUAAAGAAGUGAUUUUUUUAAAAAUAGGAAGUGAGAAGGCACAGCCUUUUAUAUGCUGAGCUUGCAAUUUAGUUUUGUGGUGAUAAUAAACAAUAUGGCUUCAAUUUUAAGGGUUUUUUGUGUUUUUUUUUUUAAAUUUUGGAUAGCUGCACAUCAAAACGGUCCAUGAAUGAUUGAUCUGUAGUGUUAUUCCAGGGAAUUUACAAUAAUGAAUGUUAAGGACAUACUCAAAAAAACAGUAAUAUCGGCAUAAGACCAAACAGAUCUAGCUGUCUGUGAAUAUUUCACAUGUAAUAAAUUUGAUGUUUCAAAUUGGUAGGAUUAUACUAACUUAUUUCAGCAAUUAGCUAAAUAUUUGAAAAAAGUUCAAUUCUGAUAGAUUAAAAAAAAUCAAAGAUUUUUUAAAAAGGAAACCAAAAGACAGCUGGAAAAUAUAGAUGAAGAUUUAUAUAUCUUUGAGCAAAAUACCAAAGGCAGAAACCACACAGGAAAAAGUUAGUGAUUUGACCACAUAAUUUUCAAUCUUCUAUAUACUGAAAUUAAUUUAUAGAUGAAAUGAGAUGAUGUUGAGGACUUGCUGCCAAAAAAAAGGAAACAAGAUGAUUAAUAAAGACUUGAUAAUUGUUGAAUCUGGGGCUUGAGUUGAUGAGUACAUGGGGAUUUCAUAUGCAAUACUCUCUACUCUUGUAUAUAGUAAAACUUUUCCAUAAUAAAAAAGUACAUUUUUUUUUAAUUUUUAGGAUUUUGAGAAACAAUCUAGGCCAAACUAUUUGCCAUCAAUUCAUUUAAAAAGAAAAAUACCCCAAUGGGGAAAACGGAUAAAAUAUAUGAACAAGCAUUUUAUAAAAAGGAGUACAAAUAACCAAUAAGUAUGUGAGAAAAAGUUUAGAUUCAGUUUUAAAAGCAAAUUUAAAAAAUUUAUUUUUAACUUUCUUGCACUGACCCAAAUUUUUUUUUUUUAAUGGAAUAAAAACCACUAGGGGUCUGUUGGACAUGAUUUAGAAAAGUAAGCACUCUCAGAACUUUCUGGUGGAAAUACUAAUUGGGACAACCUUCUGGAAAGAAACUUCACAAUAUAUAUUCAGAUCAGAUCAGUCACUCAGUCAUGUCCGACUCUUUGUGACCCCAUGAAUUGCAGCACGCCAGGCCUCCCUGUCCAUCACCAACUCCCGGAGUUCACCCAGACUCACGUCCAUCGAGUCAUUGAUGCCAUCCAGCCAUCUCAUCCUCUGUCGUCCCUUCUCCUCCUGCCCCCAAUCCUCCCAGCAUCAGAGUCUUUUCCAAUGAGUCAACUCUUCACAUGAGGUGGCCAAAGUACUGGAGUUUCAGCUUUAGCAUCAUUCCUUCCAAAGAAAUCCCAAGGCUGAUCUCCUCAGAAUGGACUGGUUGGAUCUCCUUGC
Molecule: long non-coding RNA, 3965 nt
Filed under: Bos grunniens (domestic yak)
Lineage: Eukaryota; Metazoa; Chordata; Mammalia; Artiodactyla; Bovidae
Description: lncRNA (ENSBGRG00000022951.1)
Rfam family: tRNA (bases 705-775)
Source: RNAcentral